GACGAACGCUGGCGGCGUGCUUAACACAUGCAAGUCGAACGGAAAGGCCCUGCUUUUGUGGGGUGCUCGAGUGGCGAACGGGUGAGUAACACGUGAGUCACCUGCCCUUGACUUUGGGAUAACUUCAGGAAACUGGGGCUAAUACCGGAUAGGAGCUCUUGCUGCAUGGUGGGGGUUGGAAAGUUUCGGCGGUUGUGGAUGGACUCGCGGCUUAUCAGCUUGUUGGUGGGGUAGUGGCUAACCAAGGCUUUGACGGGUAGCCGGCCUGAGAGGGUGACCGGCCACAUUGGGACUGAGAGACGGCCCAGACUCCUACGGGAGGCAGCAGUGGGGAAUAUUGCACAAUGGGCGGAAGCCUGAUGCAGCAACGCCGCGUGCGGGAUGACGGCCUUCGGGUUGUAAACCGCUUUCGCCUGUGACGAAGCGUGAGUGACGGUAAUGGGUAAAGAAGCACCGGCUAACUACGUG
This 468-nucleotide ribosomal RNA is filed under the name uncultured bacterium. RNAcentral describes it as "partial 16S ribosomal RNA". It matches the Rfam family "Bacterial small subunit ribosomal RNA", at positions 28 to 507 of the family's 1533-position model. The record is from RNAcentral.